RNAcentral lists this unclassified non-coding RNA (2358 nucleotides) under Hevea brasiliensis (rubber tree). The record is from RNAcentral. Lineage: Eukaryota; Viridiplantae; Streptophyta; Magnoliopsida; Malpighiales; Euphorbiaceae.
AUUAUUUUAAAACAACGGCGCGAAUUAAAAUAAUUAUCUUUUAAAAAAUUAUUCCUAGUUCCAGUUCCCGGCUUCCAGCCAACAGCCAAAGAGUGCAGCUUUACACUCACAUGGAAAUCCCUGUUAAAUGAAGAAAGCAACUCUGGUCUUCAAAAUCCCAACUACCAAAUUCCCUCCUUGUAACUUUUACUUCUCUUCCUCAUCACUGGCGGGCCCACCUUACAAUCUCACUACUUGUUUUGCUUCUUUCAAACAAUGUAUUCUCGACAAGAACCUCAAGAAAGGCCAACAACUUCAUGCCCAGCUGCUUAUUACUGGUCUUCAGGCCUCCUCUCCAGCAUACACCACCAGUCUCAUCAACAUGUACGCUAAAUGCAAUUUAAUGAACCAAGCCCUUCUGGUCUUUAACAGCACCCCUGAUUAUGAUCGUAAUGUUUUUACACACAACGCGAUCAUUUCUGGGUUUGUUUCCAAUGGGCUUCCAAGAUAUGGAUUUGAAUUUUAUAAAGAGAUGAGAAGGCUAGGUGUUUUGCCGGAUAAAGUUACUUUUCCUUGUUUAAUUAAGGGGCUUUGUGAGAUUAUGGAGGUUUACGAGGUGAAAAACAUUCAUGGCUUGGCGUUUAAACUUGGGUUGGAGUUGGACGUGUUUGUGGGUAGUGCUUUGAUCAGUGCCUAUUUGAAGUUUGAGUUAAUGGAUGAGGCGCAUGAGCUGUUUGAUAGAAUGCCUGAAAGGGAUGUUGUGUUGUGGAAUUCCAUGGUUAAUGGGUGUGCGCAGACUGGUAAGUUCAAUGAAGCAUUGGGAAUUUUUAGGAAAAUGAGGAAAGAGGGGGUUACAAUAAGCGGGUUUACAGCUACUGGGGUUUUGUCAGUUUUUGCUGUGACCGGGGAUUUUGAUAAAGGGAGGAUGGUUCAUGGAUUUGUGAUAAAAAUUGGGUUUGGUUCAGAUGUUUCCAUCUGCAAUGCGUUGAUUGAUAUGUAUGGGAAGUGCAAGUUUGUUGCUAAUGCAUUGGAGAUUUUUGAAACAAUGGAUGACAGGGAUAUAUUUUCAUGGAAUUCAAUUAUAUCUGUUACCGAGCAGUCUGGUGAUCAUGAUGGAACUUUGAGGCUUUUUAAUAGGAUGUUUGAUGAUGGGAUUUGCCCUGAUUUGCUUACUAUUAAAACGGUUCUUCCAGCUUGUUCUCAUGUGGCUGCAUUGAUGCAUGGCAGAGAGAUUCAUCGCUACAUGAUUGUAAAUGAGUUGGCAAAAGAUGGAAAGAGUGGAGAUGUCAAUAAUGUUCUACUGAAUAAUGCCAUCUUGGACAUGUAUGCAAAAUGUGGGAGUAUGAGGGAUGCUCACUUGGUUUUCAAUAAAAUGAUCUGUAAGGAUGUGGCAUCAUGGAACAUAAUGAUCAUGGGCUAUGGUAUGCAUGGUUACGGCAAUGAAGCCUUAGGUCUGUUUUCACAGAUGUGUGAUGCAGGAGUCGAGCCCAAUGAGGUUACAUUUGUAGGUGUCCUGUCUGCUUGCAGCCAUGCAGGUUUCGUGAUCCAGGGGCAAGAGUUUCUCAGGCAAAUGGAAUUGAAGUAUGGCGUGGUUCCAACCAUAGAGCAUUAUGCUUGCAUUAUUGACAUGCUUGGUCGUGCUGGACAGCUUGAAGAAGCUUACAAAUUGGCCCAAACGAUGCCUGUUAAAGCAAACACAGUUGCGUGGAGAGCUUUGUUGGCGGCUUGUCAGCUCCAUUGUAAUGCAGAUCUUGCUGAGGUUGUGGCACGGCAGGUGUUUGAGCUUGAUCCUGGGCAUUGUGGUAGUUAUGUAUUGAUGUCAAAUGUUUAUGUAACUGCUGGUCAAUAUGAAGAAGUGUUGGAUGUUAGACAUACAAUGAGACAACAAAAUGUGAAGAAGGCACCAGGGUGCAGCUGGAUUGAACUUAAGAAUGGCUUGCAUACUUUUAUUACCAGUGAUCAGACUCAUCCUGAAGCCAAUUGUAUUUAUUUAGUAUUGCAUUUAUUGACCUCUCGUCUGCGUGAGCAAGGAUACAUGCCUCACCUCUGCUAAAUGGUUUUAAUGGAAAUUUGUUUGAGAUUUUUUAGUCUAUCCUCUCCACAAUCGAUGGGAAAGAAAAUAAACAUUCUUGAUGUGAAAGUUUGUUUUUGGUUUGCACUUACAGAGAAUCGCUUUUGUUGGCCCUUAUUCUGCAAUAACAAGUUAAAAGCGGAAUUUGAUACAAAUGUUCACAAAGAAGGUGAAGAUCAAUCUCUGCGUAUGCACCAGAAGAAGUUGUGUUGUGCUCAAACCACACAUCUUAGUAGAUGAUUUUAGGGUCUUACAUGGAGUCCGUUGUGAGAUCCAAUGCAAUCUGGUACCAUAAAUGUAGUUUAAAA